Molecule: long non-coding RNA, 335 nt
Filed under: Elaeis guineensis (African oil palm)
Lineage: Eukaryota; Viridiplantae; Streptophyta; Magnoliopsida; Arecales; Arecaceae
Description: long non-coding RNA (EGUI_LNC015701)
Source: RNAcentral
UGUGCGUACUUGGAGGGGUCCCUGCUUAUUUCUAUUUAUAGAGGGAGCAAAAUAAAUGGUGAGAGAAUAGAUGAUCAUGUCAAUCAUGUCCUGUCGUGCGGUGCCUCACGAUAUCGCAUGGACGUCUUUAAAUGCUGACGACAAAUGUAUCUUCUAUUUGGCAUAAGAAGAUGGCGGAUGCUACCGCACAUGGGGUAUUAUAAAUGAUCCUAUAGGCGCAUUAAAUAAAUUCGUGAUAUCCCAUCACGAGACGCUGCUAGCCGGUUAGGAUAUGACGUCUGAGUGACAUGCUUUGAUGUGGCCUGUCAGAAUGACGUGGUAGCCAUGUUCGGUCC